AACGAACGCUGGCGGCAGGCUUAACACAUGCAAGUCGAGCGCCCCGCAAGGGGAGCGGCAGACGGGUGAGUAACACGUGGGAAUCUACCCAUCCCUACGGAACAACUCCGGGAAACUGGAGCUAAUACCGUAUACGCCCUUUGGGGGAAAGAUUUAUCGGGGAUGGAUGAGCCCGCGUUGGAUUAGCUAGUUGGUGGGGUAAAGGCCUACCAAGGCGACGAUCCAUAGCUGGUCUGAGAGGAUGAUCAGCCACAUUGGGACUGAGACACGGCCCAAACUCCUACGGGAGGCAGCAGUGGGGAAUAUUGGACAAUGGGCGCAAGCCUGAUCCAGCCGUGCCGCGUGAAUGAUGAAGGCCUUAGGGUUGUAAAGUUCUUUCACCGAUGAAGAUAAUGACGGUAGUCGGAGAAGAAGCCCCGGCUAACUUCGUGCCAGCAGCCGCGGUAA
This 447-nucleotide ribosomal RNA is filed under the name uncultured bacterium. Its description in RNAcentral is "partial 16S ribosomal RNA". It matches the Rfam family "Bacterial small subunit ribosomal RNA", at positions 29 to 523 of the family's 1533-position model. The record is from RNAcentral.